CUUUGUUAGAAAAUAUUUUACAACAAAAGUACUUUAACAUGCCAGAAUGACACUUAUCAUUCUCCUUCUAUACCCCCAUUGAUUUAUCUGCAGCCAGAGUUUUAGGUGUGCAGCAGGAUGGCAAGACUCGUGCAAAUUCACCAAGUGAGGCCAUAUAUAGCUGAGAUGGAGAUGAAGAAGCUAACAGAGACCGCAGAGGAACAGGGCUAUUAUUGCCGUGGCGAGCCUGAACACGAACAACGAAGAUUUCGUGGUGUUGGUGACAUCUCUCGCUGCUGAACCAGCUACUUGCUCAAAAGUUCAUUGUCCUAAAGGGCUUACAUCAUGUUGAAUUAACUCAAUGAGAGAGCGCAUAAAUUAUGAGCUUGUAUUUUAGAACGGAAAUGAAUAAUGGUGAAACUAGAAAGGAAGGCUUAGCCAAAGCUGCUUCGGAUGGUGCUACGUACAUCUAGCCGUGAAACCAAGGGGAUAAAAAAUAAAAUAAAAACUCUUUGUUGAAGAUGAGAAUGUCAUGUUAAACUAUGUACUUGUCUGUAAAUUUGGUGGCAAAAAGUCUUUAUUAAUUCGCCGAAAAUAUUCUUCUCUUAGGAUAAUAGCUCAUGCUUUCUGAUCGUGGGGUAUGAUA
Molecule: long non-coding RNA, 625 nt
Organism: Populus trichocarpa (black cottonwood)
Lineage: Eukaryota; Viridiplantae; Streptophyta; Magnoliopsida; Malpighiales; Salicaceae
Exons: 3
Source: RefSeq, a predicted model, not a curated record